Molecule: signal recognition particle RNA, 117 nt
Filed under: Shewanella sp. MR-7
Lineage: Bacteria; Pseudomonadati; Pseudomonadota; Gammaproteobacteria; Alteromonadales; Shewanellaceae
Description: SRP RNA; RNA component of signal recognition particle
Rfam family: Bacterial small signal recognition particle RNA (bases 8-105)
About the family: The signal recognition particle (SRP) is a universally conserved ribonucleoprotein involved in the co-translational targeting of proteins to membranes. Archaeal SRP consists of a 7S RNA and homologues of the eukaryotic SRP19 and SRP54 proteins.
Source: RNAcentral
GGUGACCCUAGGGUCCCCCCGCAAUGAUAACUUGUGAACUCGGCCAGGCCCGGAAGGGAGCAACCGCAGCAAGCGACUCGUGUGCCGGGGUGUCGGCUCUAGGGGAACCUCCAAAUU